Molecule: long non-coding RNA, 655 nt
Organism: Neofelis nebulosa (Clouded leopard)
Lineage: Eukaryota; Metazoa; Chordata; Mammalia; Carnivora; Felidae
Exons: 2
Source: RefSeq, a predicted model, not a curated record
CAGUUACACUGACGCUUUCUUCCCCUUAUAGGUGGCCAUCAUUUUCUUGAUUUCAGCAAUAGCUUUGCCUGGAUUCAGCCCCUUGAGAGAAGAAAAGAGAAGCAGUACCAAAGGGUACGUGAGACUGAAUGAAGAACCCAGGGCCUGGGGCGAACCCCCCCCUCUAGUGGGGCUGGGGUCAAAGCAAGGCGAUGCGAAUCUCAUCCUUUCAAAGCCAGGGGCUGGGGCUCAGGGUUCUCCGGUGUCCACCUGGAGACACCUCACAGCGGCCGGACGGCUCCGGUGACCCCUCCCGCCCCCCUGCGCAGACCCACGGGGGCCGUGUGCUCGAGACGCACGCACGUCCAGGAGAGGGCAGCUCUUCCACGGCCACGGCCGGCGUCCCAACCAGCCGGCAGCCCUCAGUCUCUUACGCGUUCCCGUGGACACACGAGAGCCCUCACGGGUGCCGGGAAGGAAGGGCCCUCCCUGGGGACCCUUCCCAAGCUCCCGUGGCAGCCUGACUGGCCAGUAACCCUGCUUCCGCAGGAGGCACCAUGACGAGCCCAGUGAGCGCCGGCCGCCUCAGCAGGGACACAAGGACGCAGCCGAGAGUGGCUGCACCAGCUUGCAUUGCCACCAACAAUGCAAAAGAGAUCCUCUUUCCAGGAGGUGG